RNAcentral lists this ribosomal RNA (364 nucleotides) under uncultured bacterium. RNAcentral describes it as "partial 16S ribosomal RNA". It matches the Rfam family "Bacterial small subunit ribosomal RNA", at positions 338 to 699 of the family's 1533-position model. The record is from RNAcentral.
CCUACGGGAGGCAGCAGUGAGGAAUAUUGGUCAAUGGGCGCGAGCCUGAACCAGCCAAGUCGCGUGAGGGAAGACGGUCCUAUGGAUUGUAAACCUCUUUUGUACGAGGGUAAACGCAGAUACCUGUAUCUGUCUGACAGUCUCGUACGAAUAAGGACCGGCUAACUACGCGCCAGCAGCCGCGGUAAUACGGAGGAUCCAAGCGUUAUCCGGAUUUAUUGGGCUUAAAGGGUGCGUAGGCGGUCGGAUAAGUUAGAGUUGAAAUCCCGAGGCUCAACUUCGGAAGUGCCGCUGAUACUGUUCGGCUAGAGAGUAGUUGCGGUAGGCGGAAUGUAUGGUGUAGCGGUGAAAUGCGUAGAGAUCA